CCCUAUUAUUUUAAAAUGUUAAUUUUUGUGCCUGAGUAGUAUUAGUUAUGUUCUUGAAACUUAAAGAAUUUGGCGGUAUCUCAUUCCGUCCAGAGGAAUCUGUCCCGUUAUCGAUAGUCCACGUUGGACCUUACUUAUUUGAUUUUGGUUUGUAUACCGCCGUUUAUUGAUUAUCUUUUUAGAGGUUACUUAAUUUUCUGGUUUCUUUAUUUUGAUGUAUUUCAGGUCAAGGUGCAGCUUGUUUUUAAGUGGAAUGAUGGAUUACAUUGUUAUUUGUUUAUGGAUUGUUGAUUUUAAUAUUGGCAUGAAAUUGGAUUUGGUUGUAAUAAUUUGUAGAUUGUUAUUAUGAUAAUUGGUUCUGAGAUAUGCACACAUCGCCCGUCGCUCUCGUUUGUUUAUUAUAAUGAGAUAAGUC
Molecule: ribosomal RNA, 415 nt
Filed under: Nasutitermes corniger
Lineage: Eukaryota; Metazoa; Arthropoda; Insecta; Blattodea; Termitidae
Description: partial small subunit ribosomal RNA
Source: RNAcentral